AGAAUGUGGCCUCUUCUGGGGACACCGAAUUGGGGGCAUAUUUUCCCUAUCCUUAUGCCUGCUGUGAGCUGUCCUCAGGGCUCCUCCAAGGGACUUGCAUGAGAGGCAGCGGACAUUCUCCCUCACCAGAAGAGCACACGAUUUUGAUCUUAAUGUUGUGCCCUGAGGAUCUUGGAUGCCGUCCUUGGUCUUCUCCCAAAGUUGAAGCCACCAGCUGUUUUUUUGUAGAUCCAGUCAGUUGGGAAGUUCACUGAAUCCUUGUGGAGCAAAGACAAGAAUUUGUUAAAGAACCGUACCACAAAAUGACACAAAGGAAAGUCAUGGAAAAGUCAGAUUUGUUUCUUCCUGAAGUGGCAACUGAUUCAGCGUUGUGGUCAUGGAGUCGAAUUCCCAAUGUCUGAAGCAGAGAUAAAGCUUGAGCAGGACCUUCAGCUGCUGGAGUACAUGCUUCAUCUUGUGGUGGUUCGCACAAUGCCAGCAAGCCUUGAACAGCAUCCAUUUCUUGAAUGCCAUGACUGUGUCCUUCAUCUUCAACAGCAGGCAUCAGCUGCUGCAGCUCGGUGUUCACUAAAUCAAGGAUAAAUUUAAACUUAAAGGUUACCUUAAUUUCUAAAUCUUACCUGGAUGAAUGUCACUGAUUUCCAACAAGUCUGCCGUGUAUGAUACUUCAGCUAGUGGCUCAGCUGGUGGAAGCAUAUCAGUACCUAUGUCGUGGAAAAAUUGGAACAAAUUAGGAUGCUGAAAGGGAGCUGCUAUGUGAUUGUGAAGUAUUGCACUGUAAGCUCAUACCAGAAGAGUCAAUGUCAUCAAGCAGAAGUAAAGACCUCAUAGCUGCAGCGAGUGGUUGUUCAUCAGCUGGUGAGCUGGCUAUGGAGGUCUGUGGCCAGUGAAUGUCAGAAGUUUCUGACCCAUAAUUGCUCAUGUCAGGACUGGCAGUGCAAGAAGUAGUAUCUAAAAAAUUAAGGUACACAUAGUAAUCAUAAUCAAACUCCAACAAACUCAACCUCAUUUUGCUGUUUCAUACCAGUAAGUCCUGGGACAGUCAUUGGAGUGGAUGUAAAAGUAGGGCGAACUGCAGGAGCAGAAGGUGUUGCCCAGUUGAAAAAUGUUGGCACAUCAGCAAGUGAAAGAUUAUCUAGAAAAUGAAAGAACAUGACCAUGAUACCAAACUCUACUUCUGAUUAAGGAUGUUGUAUUACCCAACAGUUUGUAUUACCAGCAGAUACUGAAGUACCACCUUCAACAGGGCAAGCUGAAGGAGCCGAAGAUGUUGCACAGUUGUUUGAUGGUGCCACAUCAGCAAGUAAAAGAUUAUCUAGAAAAUAAAGAAACAUGACCAUAUACUAAACUCUACUUCUGAAUGAAUUAUGUGUUGAAUUACUGAAUUACUGAACAGUUUUGUAUUAC
Frankliniella occidentalis (western flower thrips) is the source of this 1407-nucleotide long non-coding RNA. RefSeq lists it as uncharacterized. NCBI's taxonomy places the organism in Eukaryota, Metazoa, Arthropoda, Insecta, Thysanoptera, Thripidae. The record is from RefSeq and is a predicted model, not a curated record. The transcript has 6 exons.